Panicum virgatum (switchgrass) is the source of this 1426-nucleotide long non-coding RNA. RefSeq lists it as uncharacterized. Lineage: Eukaryota; Viridiplantae; Streptophyta; Magnoliopsida; Poales; Poaceae. The record is from RefSeq and is a predicted model, not a curated record. The transcript has 2 exons.
CGGGGGCCGCUUGCUUGCUACGCUGUCCAGGGAUGACGUCCUUGCCUGUGCACCUAUAAUCGAGGACAGGAGACCCAUCACUCAGUCUAUGUUGGCUUCUUCUCCUCUUCUCACUGCUCGGGUCAGACAAGCCUCUCCCAAUCCCUCGCCUUCUCCGUCCCUCCACCCGAACCUCAGCAUGGUGUCCCGGUGAGACUUCACCCACCCCGCACCUGUGGUCUUGCAGAGCGGCUGGGCGUGAUGAUGGCUGGUGGGCGCCGGUCAGCCGUCACCAUCUCCGCACACCAUCGGUGCUACCACCAUCAUGGCCCUCGUGGAGGGACUGCUCGGAGUCGGAUCAGAGAUGGUGCUGUUGCCGUGAGGUUGGCGCCAUCCCUGUCGGCCUCAGCGUCCUCUCAUGUGAACGCGGCCACAGUUCCUAUGGAGUCCAAGCGCGCCGCUGCGUGGUUAUCUUGCCGGUGGAACUUCCCCUAAGGGCAUGUGGGCAUGUUGGUACCUCCAGAAGUGGAUUAUUUGUUGAGGCUAUGUUUCUGGACAUCGUCAAAUUAAACACACGACUGAACUCUAUUUCGAUGUUAAAAAGUUCAGUUUGAUGUCAUUGGAAAUGUUGGAAUUCUAAAGGAUGCGGCCUUGCUGGGUUUUUGUAGUUUAGUAGGGCUAAAAUUCCUCACAGAUUGACAAUUGAAGUGUUCUGAUUAUUGUUUCAUGUUAAGCCAAUAUUGCAUAUUAGCAUUUAAUAAUUAAAUAUUGUGAAUGUUUUCAUUACAAGUUGGUGUUGCCACUGUAUUGCUAUAUGAUUGAAGCAUUCUACAUCGUUCCAAAAUACAGAAAACAUAGGGGCGAAUUUUCCAUUGCUGAAACAAGUUUAUCUCCAUUGUUUAAUUUGAUGUUGGAGGUUUGACAUUAGCAUACUACAGUAAAGUUCAUCUAACAAUAGUUUGAUCCUUGCUUAUUUGAUUCAAUUCCAUUAGCGUGUAUAGUACAACUUGACAAGUUUACAUGUGCAUUGCUGCAGGUUCAUCAAAGGUAAUUCAUGAUCCGCUGUAUCACUUGGACAAAUUUACAUGACUAUCAGUUUUUAGAUUGUGAUAUAUUUCCAGAAUGUAUUUGCAGAUAGUUUAAUUGAUUUUUUUGUUAGUACGAAGUGUUAUAAUUCAUACUUAAAAUGUCACGAAAACCUCACAUUUACUGUAGAUUUUUUCUCUCUAUAUGCUGUGUUGGUUGCUGAUCGAAGGCAUAAAGUCUAUGCUUCGAGAUAGUUUGUCAUAUGUACCUUUUUUCAUGCUUCAGAUCAAAUUAUUUUUGUACGAAUGUACGGGAAAAUGAUCAUUUGCAGUAUUUUUUCCCUGUUAGAUAUAGCCAUCUAUUAAGUUUGAUGAAACUGUAAACGUACCUAUUUUAUAUAAACAAAGAACUACCACAUUUA